GAUGAACGCUGGCGGCGUGCCUAAUACAUGCAAGUCGAGCGAACGGACGAGAAGCUUGCUUCUCUGAUGUUAGCGGCGGACGGGUGAGUAACACGUGGAUAACCUACCUAUAAGACUGGGAUAACUUCGGGAAACCGGAGCUAAUACCGGAUAAUAUUUUGAACCGCAUGGUUCAAAAGUGAAAGACGGUCUUGCUGUCACUUAUAGAUGGAUCCGCGCUGCAUUAGCUAGUUGGUAAGGUAACGGCUUACCAAGGCAACGAUGCAUAGCCGACCUGAGAGGGUGAUCGGCCACACUGGAACUGAGACACGGUCCAGACUCCUACGGGAGGCAGCAGUAGGGAAUCUUCCGCAAUGGGCGAAAGCCUAACGGAGCAACGCCGCGUGAGUGAUGAAGGUCUUCGGAUAGUAAAACUCUGUUAUUAGGGAAGAACAUAUGUGUAAGUAACUGUGCACAUCUUGACGGUACCUAAUCAGAAAGCCACGGCUAACUACGUG
RNAcentral lists this ribosomal RNA (497 nucleotides) under uncultured bacterium. Its description in RNAcentral is "partial 16S ribosomal RNA". It matches the Rfam family "Bacterial small subunit ribosomal RNA", at positions 28 to 507 of the family's 1533-position model. The record is from RNAcentral.